Molecule: transfer RNA, 71 nt
Filed under: Marmota monax (woodchuck)
Lineage: Eukaryota; Metazoa; Chordata; Mammalia; Rodentia; Sciuridae
Description: tRNA.Ala
Source: RNAcentral
GGGGUUGUGGCUCAGUGGCAAAGUACUCACCUAGCAUGUGCGAGGCCCUGGGUUUGAUCCUCAGUACCACA